Molecule: long non-coding RNA, 279 nt
Organism: Nematostella vectensis (starlet sea anemone)
Lineage: Eukaryota; Metazoa; Cnidaria; Anthozoa; Actiniaria; Edwardsiidae
Exons: 2
Source: RefSeq, a predicted model, not a curated record
CAAACCAAUCAGCACAAUAACACUUGUAUCCAAAUUCGCCAAUUGAACCAGAAGUCUCUCCCAGCUUGCAGACACCGCUGUUCUGGCAGGGAUUGGGAUCGCAUGAACCUGAAUCACAAGAGAAAAACAGGGAGCUCAUAACUCGCAUAAGCCCUGGUUUUUCUGUGAGCCUCUCGCCUUGCCAUUUCGCCCUGUAUUUGUUGUAUGUUAGUCCAAUUGUAAUUAUGGCUAACAAAUAAACUGAAUCCAGUGCAAUAAAUAAUUCUUCGAUGUUCUCUA